Trachemys scripta elegans is the source of this 491-nucleotide long non-coding RNA. RefSeq lists it as uncharacterized. NCBI's taxonomy places the organism in Eukaryota, Metazoa, Chordata, Testudines, Emydidae. The record is from RefSeq and is a predicted model, not a curated record. The transcript has 3 exons.
CCAUGAGGAAAGGAGCAUUAUCUACUGCUUGCCUUUUUCUGGAAUCUAACGAUCAAAGGCCGAUAUAAAGGGAAGGCUAACUCAUCUAUGGCAGACAGGCAGGCAGUCUCUCUCUCAGACCACCCCUUAUUACUCACUGUACAAGAGUUUGCCGGGGCUCGACCCUCUCCGGGGCAGCGGGGAGCCACACCGGCUCACUACACCCCGUUGAGCUUGGGGGGAUUCGUCCGGCUGUGGGGUCUCCCUCGGCAGCUCUUGCUGUAACCAGAAGAAAUACGGUGAAAGACUGAUCCCAGCCUAUAACACUAAGCCGCCAAGAAUGCACCCAGUUAUACAGCUGGUUCACUUCCAUCCAGCAUUUACAGUUUUGUAACAGGAAGCUGCUGCAUUGUGUGCUGUAUUUUUUCCUGUAUUUUAUGUGGCAUUAUUAAAGAAUGUAAGGGGAAAAAAGAAAGACGUGAGCUGCUAAGUCCGUAUCAAUCACUUUGUUA